CCAAUCAAACUCGGAGAUAGCUGGUUCUCCGCGAAAUCUAUUUAGGUAGAGCGUCAUCCGAAUACCCCGGGGGGUAGAGCACUGGAUGGGUAAUGGGGCCCCACAGGCUUACUGAUCCUAACCAAACUCCGAAUACCCGGGAGUACUAGAUGGCAGACACACGGCGGAUGCUAACGUCCGUCGUGGAGAGGGAAACAACCCUGACCUACAGCUAAGGCCCCCAAUUCAUGGCUAAGUGGGAAAGCAGGUGGGACGACCAAAACAACCAGGAGGUUGGCUUAGAAGCAGCCAUCCUUUAAAGAUAGCGUAACAGCUCACUGGUCUAAUUAAGUUGUCCUGCGGCGAAGAUGUAACGGGGCUCAAGCCAUGAGCCGAAGCUUAGGAUGCAUUUAAUGCAUGGUAGCGGAGCGUAGUGUGACAUAGCACCGUUCCUCUUUUGCGGUUUGGUAUGAGCAAUCAUACCCUGCGUAAUGGAGGAUAUGGUGUUUUCUGUGAAGCCGGGCUGUAAGGCAUCCGGUGGAGAGAUCACUAGUGAGAAUGAUGACAUGAGUAGCGACAAAGAGUGUGAGAGACACUCUCGCCGAAAAUCCAAGGGUUCCUGCUUAAAGCUAAUCUGAGCAGGGUGAGCCGACCCCUAAGUCGAGGCCGAAAGGCGUAGACGAUGGGAACCAGGUUAAUAUUCCUGGGCCAGGAGGAUGUGACGGAUUGUGAAGGUUGUUUCCCCUUAUUGGAUUGGGGAGGCCGCUGAUCAGUUCCUGGAAAUAGCCCUCCAUGAGAUCGUACCCUAAACCGACACAGGUGGAUAGGUAGAGAAUACCAAGGCGCUUGAGAGAACUACGUUGAAGGAACUCGGCAAAAUACCUCCGUAAGUUCGCGAGAAGGAGGCCCAGUUUCUACGCAAGUAUUGGCUGGGGGCACAAACCAGGGGGUGGCGACUGUUUACUAAAAACACAGGGCUCUGCGAAGUCGCAAGACGACGUAUAGGGUCUGACGCCUGCCCGGUGCCUGAAGGUUAAAAGGAGAUGUGAGAGCGUCGAAUUGAAGCCCAGGUAAACGGCGGCCGUAACUAUAACGGUCCUAAGGUAGCGAAAUUCCUUGUCGGG
RNAcentral lists this ribosomal RNA (1103 nucleotides) under seawater metagenome. Its description in RNAcentral is "bacterial LSU rRNA". It matches the Rfam family "Bacterial large subunit ribosomal RNA", at positions 829 to 1976 of the family's 2925-position model. The record is from RNAcentral.